GCAAAUGGUUGGGGUGGGACACGGGUAAACCCAUCACUCCCGUAAGCCCAUAUAUAUUCAUCCUAACUUUCAUGCCACUAAAACCUAACCCUAAUAGAGAUGGCCGCCACCACCUUCCUUCUCCAACUCCGGCGCCGCAUCCCUUAUGCCGCCUGUCAUCGUCGGUGUCGUUCACCAGCCACAAAAGGCAUGAGCCACUACCCAUACUCUCCCCAAUCGUUAUCUUGGAGCUUCUCUGCCACCGAAUCCAGUCGCCACCUUCGCUUCCUCCUAUCUCCGAUGCCACUACCAUUUCGUCGGUUCCAAUCAACCGAGGCCAACGAGUCCACCCACCAUGACCAGAGAAACUGAAGACCACCGGGGGGCCAACGGACGAUCCUUCAUCGCUGUCAGGUUCCUUUUUCCCCAGCCGCCGCUACGCUGUCGCUGUUGGAGUCGGAGCUGCCGACGAGGACCGAGCAUCGUUUCUUCGCCGCUGUUGGACUGUACUGAUGCCCGUUGUCUGCCAUUGCCACCGUUAACACUGCUGCUACCGCCAUGCUCGCUGCCGUUUCUGUUCCGACUGCCGCCAUGCUCGGUGGGCGUUUUGUACGUGUGUGUGCAUGGUUCUGUAUGUGUCGGCGUGUGGGCAUGUUUAUGAGCUGGUCGGAAAACGUUGGGAGCCACCAUGGUGGCUAUUGGCCGGUUGCUGCUCUUCUGCCGCCAUAGACCACCACCAGCCACCAUGAGGUGGCUGCGCGCGUGUGUGUUUAUUAGUGUGUGUGUGUGUGUGUUAUUAGUGUGUGUGAAUUUGGAUUAUAUUGUAAAUUGUAACCAUAUCAGAAAAGUGAAAAGGAAACCUAAAACGACCACCGUGAAGUGGUGGCUGCCGCCUCCUGCCGCCACUGGCCCCCGUGUCGGGUGGCGGUGUACUUUGCUUUGUUUUGUUGGAUCCGUUUAGGAGCCUUGAAACCUUAAUGGGCCCAAUGAAGCCCUAAUAGGUCCAAGGAAACCCUAAUUAAUCUAAUAAAACCCUAAUAGGCCCAAUGAGGCCCAAAGUAACCUAAAAGCCUAACCAAGUAACUAAUGGGUUAAUAUUGGGAAGGAAACCCAAAAUAGGGUUUGGAAAACCCUCAUGGCAUAAAACCCUAAAUUUUGAGAAUUAAUCGGGACACACGAGAAUUAAUUAAUAACUUGAAAUAUUAAAUGACUAUCAUUAGCAAAUUAACCUAAAGCAUUAUUGGACUUAAUGGGUUAAGUCCUUAAUGGGUUAAGUUAGAGAUACUUAACCCUAAUUGUCAUUUUAUGUGAAACCCUAAUUUCACUUUGGGUUUGUAUUGGGAUUUUCCAUUGGGUUUUGGUAAUUGGAUUAUUAAUGGAGCAUCCAAGAAUGAUCAUAUGGACUAGAAUAUGUUGAUGGGCUUUAGGGUAAGGCCCAUAUGAGGGGUUAGGCCCAGUUUGAAAAUUAGGCCAUAGAUUGGCCAUUGUUUGGGCCUUUAUGUUUAUGUGAUAUUGGACCAUAGAAAUUGGAUUGAAAUAAUUGGGUGGGCCUUAAGGAAAGACCAUGUAGAGGUCUGGGCCCAAUUUGGAAAAUUGGGCCAUAUGUUGGGAUUUGGCCCAUGAUUUGACUUUUGUGCUUGGAACCCAAUUAUUAAUUGGGUAUUGUUUGACGUUGACAGUUCGGGAAGCUUUCAAUUAGCGGCUGGAGUUUAUUAUGCGGGACUUUGUCAGUGCCAGGUGAGUUCUCCUCACUAUAUCAACAAGGUCUACGACACCAAGGCCGACCCUUUUUGGAUUUGUAUAUGGGUUAUUGCAUGCCAUGCUUAUUGAUUUUUAUCCUGGUAGUUAGGAUGGUGAUAUGCCUAGUGACCUGGUAGGUCGGUAUCCUGGUAUAUAGGAUAAUGCUAUGUUAGUGACCGGUUAGGUCUGUAUCCUGGUUAUAGGAUGUUGUUAUGCUAUUUGAUCUGUUAGAUCGGUUUGACUGUUAUGAAUGCUAGCGUAUGAUAUUUACGUUCACAUGUUUGGUUGAUUUGGGGUUGGGUUGAGGCGGUCCUGCUGUGUGCUGUAGGCUAACAUACCCAGGAUGGUCCGGAUAGACUACAGGCCCAGGAGGGUAUGUCAGUCAGACCGAAGGCCCAACGAGCGGUCCGGACAGGCUGUAGGCCUUGCGAGGCGGUCCAGAUAUGUCGAAGGCUCGGGAGCGGUCCAGAUAGGUUGUAGUCCCUGGUGAGGGCGGUCUAAUUAGGCUGAAGGCUCAUUAUGCAUGUUGUUUGCUGUUUGUUUAUAUGUUAUACGAUAUGGUUAUAUCAGAUGGUGUUGGUAUUUGGGGGUAACUCACUAAGCCUUCGAGCUUACAUCUAUCGAUUAUUAUUUCAGGUAUUUCUGAGGAUUGCAUGAAGGCAAAGGCGUGAUCGUGCACCUCCUGUAACAGCCCGAAAUCUCAGUCGACUGAGAGGAACCCUAAACGGCUGUGGACAUCUAGAGCAAGAUUGGAGGAUAUUAGGGCUUGAAGAAAUUAUUGGGCAAGGAGGAGAAGGGUUUUGGCUAAAGGAACAGCAAGGGAUUCGAGUUCUGUGGUUUGGAGACACAGAGAGGGCAUAUUCCACGGAGGUUGUAGGUCGUCGGUUGUGCACGAGUCAUUUCAGGAGUUGCUAGCUUUCAGCAUAUACGAGGU
Lactuca sativa (garden lettuce) is the source of this 2653-nucleotide non-coding RNA. The record is from RefSeq and is a predicted model, not a curated record. Lineage: Eukaryota; Viridiplantae; Streptophyta; Magnoliopsida; Asterales; Asteraceae.